AUGCAACGAGGGAUCUCCCCGGAUGUGACGCUGUAUACGAUCACGCCCAGGAAGGAGCCAUAGAGUGAAGAUGCACGAACGGAAGGGUGCACGCGAGCGGCGGCGCGGGAGUGUGAGAGGGCGUGGCACCCACGUACACGGGCUACUCGUCUCUUGUGGUGUUUGGCGGACAGCGUCCUGGAGAGGACUCGCAGCGCAUGGGGGGCGGGCGGAGAUGUACGCUGGUGGAGCUGCGACCGCAUCGUUGCUGGAAGAUGCAGGCGCCACGUGGACGAGCACGCGUUGCAGUUGCGUGGGUGAGGGGAGGAGGCAAGGUGGAAGCCAGCGGAGGGCAGGGGAGGGCUGCGCCUCUUUCUUUGCGUGCCCCUCUACCGACGAAGCCCUUCGCAGAGAGAGCGUGCCCGCUCCGCACCUACACCGCACCCGUCUUUCCAGUCAGCCGCGAGGCGCUACGUGGCGUUCCUAGUCUUUUUUGUUGCGCUCAGCGUGUGCACCUUGGUGCAUCUCCUUGCACCCGCUCAGCUGCUCGUCUGCCCCCUUCCAAUCACGCUGUGGCGUCCCCCCGCCAUCUCCUAUAUCAUGCGUGCGCCACUCUCUCCGUUGCCCUGUCUCUCUCGGUGAAUGUCUCACCUGACGCGCGCGCCGCGCGCGUGCCGCUGCCCGCCUCAGCGCCUGCGCGAACACAGCUCAUCGCCGACAAACAGCAACUCCCAGUCCUCGUGAGCCUGCUGCGCGCCAUCCCCCCUCUUCCAGACUGACGGCUCGCCGGCGUCUCACCAAAGCCCCCAUUCAGGGAGGACUCCUCUCGCUUUACUGCGCGCGAUCUCUCCUCGACCGCUCUCCCCACCUCGCUCCCCCGCGUGCUGCCGGGCAUACAUACAAG
This 883-nucleotide unclassified non-coding RNA is filed under the name Leishmania donovani. Its description in RNAcentral is "gene:unknown". Lineage: Eukaryota; Euglenozoa; Kinetoplastea; Trypanosomatida; Trypanosomatidae. The record is from RNAcentral.